UACAGAGGUCCCAAGCGUUGUUCGGAAUUACUGGGCGUAAAGGGCGCGUAGGCGGCCUUCUAAGUCGGACGUGAAAUCCCUCGGCUCAACCGAGGAACUGCGUCCGAUACUGAAAGGCUUGAAUCCGGGAGAGGGAUGUGGAAUUCCAGGUGUAGCGGUGAAAUGCGUAGAUAUCUGGAGGAACACCGGUGGCGAAGGCGGCAUCCUGGACCGGCAUUGACGCUGAGGCGCGAAAGCUAGGGGAGCAAACGGG
Molecule: ribosomal RNA, 253 nt
Filed under: uncultured bacterium
Lineage: Bacteria
Description: partial 16S ribosomal RNA
Rfam family: Bacterial small subunit ribosomal RNA
Source: RNAcentral